This 563-nucleotide ribosomal RNA is filed under the name uncultured bacterium. RNAcentral's name for it is "bacterial SSU rRNA". It matches the Rfam family "Bacterial small subunit ribosomal RNA", at positions 395 to 951 of the family's 1533-position model. The record is from RNAcentral.
AUACGCGUGUGUGAAGAAGGCCUGAGGGUUGUAAAGCACUUUCAAUAGGAAGGAAUACCUAUCGGCUAAUACCCGGUAGACUGACAUUACCUAUACAAGAAGCACCGGCUAACUCCGUGCCAGCAGCCGCGGUAAUACGGAGGGUGCAAGCGUUAAUCGGAAUUACUGGGCGUAAAGCGUGCGUAGGCGGUUAUUUAAGUCAGAUGUGAAAGCCCUGGGCUUAACCUGGGAACUGCAUUUGAUACUGGGUAACUAGAGUUUAGUAGGGGGGAGUGGAAUUUCAGGUGUAGCGGUGAAAUGCGUAGAGAUCUGAAGGAACACCAGUGGCGAAGGCGGCUCCCUGGACUAAAACUGACGCUGAGGUACGAAAGCGUGGGUAGCAAACAGGAUUAGAUACCCUGGUAGUCCACGCCGUAAACGAUGUCAACUAACUGUUGGGUUCUUUAAGAACUUAGUAGUGGAGCUAACGUAUUAAGUUGACCGCCUGGGGAGUACGGCCGCAAGGCUAAAACUCAAAUGAAUUGACGGGGGCCCGCACAAGCGGUGGAGCAUGUGGUUUAAUU